GCUGGGUAAAAUUGUAGACUCUUCCAGUUUUGCCAUGAUGGAAAAUAUGAGGUGCAGAGAAGUGAUGGAAAAAAGAGAAGAUCAGGAUUUCAGUUUUUUUCUGCAUUUCUCAUCAUCCCAUGAAGUCUCUUGAUAACAUAAGCCAAGUUUUCAUAUACCUUGACGUGUGUGAUACUUACGUGGUGCCAAGAACAAGAUGCAUACUCAAUAAAUAUUCAUCACUAUAGGCAAAAGCGGGCACAGAUGGAAAAUAAAAUUAUUUGAAGAGUCUUGCUCUGUCACACAGGCUGGAGCGUAGUGGCAUGAUCUCAGCUCAUUGCAACCUCUGCCUCCUGGGUUCAAGCAAUCCUCCUACCUCAGCCUCCUGAGUAGCUUGGACCACAGGAGACAGAGCUGCGGGGCAGGGGCUAGAAGCAGCAGCCUGGACGUGCACCAAUGAUUACGCACGGGCUGCGUAUAAAAAGUCCCCGAGGGAAGGAAAGCCGAAACUCCAUCCUGAGGGAUGCUGCGGCGAGAGAAUCUCCAACUCAUGGAGGCUGAGCUUCUGCGGGAGAGGCCACAGCCUGAAGAAGAGGUGGGAUCGGAAAUAAACCCGCCUGGGAGACCUGCAGGCACCAGCAGUAUUCAGAGACUCAAAUCUGGGACCCCGUUCUGAGUGACAGCAAGUGCGUGGACACACACAUUCUUGAAGAUACUGCUUUUCACUUCACAUUGUUCUACUCAGCGUCUCCACUGCUCCCAGCGUCUCUGCUGUGCCUCUUCUGGACAUAUAGAAGUGAUGUAUUCUUCAUAGUCUAAGAGCCCCAGCAAUAUUUAUAGCAAUCUUUAAUUUCCACUUAGUAAGUAUUUUGAACUUAUGAAAUUCCUGUAAGUGAAUUUUAGGUCAUGCCACGUGUACUCCACCUUCUGAAGUCUGCCCGUGAUGACCUUCUUUCAGGUACAAUAGGUACAAUUUGUCUAGUGUAGAUUGUCUAAUCUUGAUUAAUAUAGAUUUUCUUCAGUUCAGAAAUACAAUUUAAAUGCCAUUAAAAACUUAAUUUUUGACUGAC
This is a long non-coding RNA of Homo sapiens (human), 1049 nucleotides long. The record is from Ensembl. NCBI's taxonomy places the organism in Eukaryota, Metazoa, Chordata, Mammalia, Primates, Hominidae.